Molecule: ribosomal RNA, 1392 nt
Filed under: Lactiplantibacillus plantarum
Lineage: Bacteria; Bacillati; Bacillota; Bacilli; Lactobacillales; Lactobacillaceae
Also listed under: 1 other name
Description: partial 16S ribosomal RNA
Rfam family: Bacterial small subunit ribosomal RNA
Source: RNAcentral
UGGUAUUGAUUGGUGCUUGCAUCAUGAUUUACAUUUGAGUGAGUGGCGAACUGGUGAGUAACACGUGGGAAACCUGCCCAGAAGCGGGGGAUAACACCUGGAAACAGAUGCUAAUACCGCAUAACAACUUGGACCGCAUGGUCCGAGUUUGAAAGAUGGCUUCGGCUAUCACUUUUGGAUGGUCCCGCGGCGUAUUAGCUAGAUGGUGGGGUAACGGCUCACCAUGGCAAUGAUACGUAGCCGACCUGAGAGGGUAAUCGGCCACAUUGGGACUGAGACACGGCCCAAACUCCUACGGGAGGCAGCAGUAGGGAAUCUUCCACAAUGGACGAAAGUCUGAUGGAGCAACGCCGCGUGAGUGAAGAAGGGUUUCGGCUCGUAAAACUCUGUUGUUAAAGAAGAACAUAUCUGAGAGUAACUGUUCAGGUAUUGACGGUAUUUAACCAGAAAGCCACGGCUAACUACGUGCCAGCAGCCGCGGUAAUACGUAGGUGGCAAGCGUUGUCCGGAUUUAUUGGGCGUAAAGCGAGCGCAGGCGGUUUUUUAAGUCUGAUGUGAAAGCCUUCGGCUCAACCGAAGAAGUGCAUCGGAAACUGGGAAACUUGAGUGCAGAAGAGGACAGUGGAACUCCAUGUGUAGCGGUGAAAUGCGUAGAUAUAUGGAAGAACACCAGUGGCGAAGGCGGCUGUCUGGUCUGUAACUGACGCUGAGGCUCGAAAGUAUGGGUAGCAAACAGGAUUAGAUACCCUGGUAGUCCAUACCGUAAACGAUGAAUGCUAAGUGUUGGAGGGUUUCCGCCCUUCAGUGCUGCAGCUAACGCAUUAAGCAUUCCGCCUGGGGAGUACGGCCGCAAGGCUGAAACUCAAAGGAAUUGACGGGGGCCCGCACAAGCGGUGGAGCAUGUGGUUUAAUUCGAAGCUACGCGAAGAACCUUACCAGGUCUUGACAUACUAUGCAAAUCUAAGAGAUUAGACGUUCCCUUCGGGGACAUGGAUACAGGUGGUGCAUGGUUGUCGUCAGCUCGUGUCGUGAGAUGUUGGGUUAAGUCCCGCAACGAGCGCAACCCUUAUUAUCAGUUGCCAGCAUUAAGUUGGGCACUCUGGUGAGACUGCCGGUGACAAACCGGAGGAAGGUGGGGAUGACGUCAAAUCAUCAUGCCCCUUAUGACCUGGGCUACACACGUGCUACAAUGGAUGGUACAACGAGUUGCGAACUCGCGAGAGUAAGCUAAUCUCUUAAAGCCAUUCUCAGUUCGGAUUGUAGGCUGCAACUCGCCUACAUGAAGUCGGAAUCGCUAGUAAUCGCGGAUCAGCAUGCCGCGGUGAAUACGUUCCCGGGCCUUGUACACACCGCCCGUCACACCAUGAGAGUUUGUAACACCCAAAGUCGGUG